This 1259-nucleotide long non-coding RNA is filed under the name Zostera marina. RNAcentral's name for it is "long non-coding RNA (ZMAR_LNC006154)". Lineage: Eukaryota; Viridiplantae; Streptophyta; Magnoliopsida; Alismatales; Zosteraceae. The record is from RNAcentral.
AUCACUAACUAUAACUAUAUAUUAUCCACACAACUACCUAUAACUAUUUUUUAUUACAUCUCACACUUUCCCUCAAAGACAAGCUGUAUAUAGUUUUUUUAUGAAAGAUUGACUUUGAUUUGGUAAUUCAUUUUGGUUGUUCUCUAUAUCAAAUUACAUAAUUCUCUGUAGUCUCAUCUUAAGAAAACCUUAAAGUCGUAGAAAAGCAAAAGAGGGGUAAAAAAACCCAAUGGUAUCAUUCAUGUUUGCAUUUACAAAUCUGACUUGGAAACGUGCAUCCUCCACCAGCGACAUCAGCUGCAAAAUGUCAAGAAGGAUAAUCUUCCGAUGAUCGAGUAUUUGAAGAAAAUAUACAUAUUGAAGGACAAGCUAGCUGCGUCCGGUGAGAAAUUAAAAGAUUUGUAAGUAAUUUUAAUUGCCCUAAGCAGUUUGGGGUCUGAAUUUCAACCAUUUGUCACUUCUAUCACCACUCGUUUUGAUCAUGGGAUGACAUUCCCAAAUCUCAAACAAUUGCUCAUGGACCAUGAACUAAGAUUCGCCUCGACGCCGAUAACCGUGGUAAUUGAAGCAAAUGCGGUGACCAAAUCAAGAUCUGAUUCGAUGAAGUUUUACCCAUGCCAAAUAUGUUUAAAAAAAGGACACAACGCUAUCAGUUGUUAUAAGCAAAUCAACUUCAUCCGAUUUCACCCCAACUCAUAGUCGCAUACUUACGUCGGUGGGAAUUCCGACGUCACAACAGUCCGCAAAUAUGGUGGAACCCAAAGGUGUGAUGUCCAUGUGGUAUCCCGAUACGGGGGAAACUACGCACAUAGAAGGUUCAAGUAAGUUGAUUCAAUCCUCCGAUCCACCCCCUAUCAAGGUAAAAUCUCGGUGCUUACGGCAAAUGGAGAUUCAAUGCCAAUAUUAAAAUCUGGAAAAUCUAGAGUAAAAUUAAAUCAAUUUGAAUUAUUAUUGGACAGGAUGUUGUUAGUACUUUCAACACGUACGUAUAUGUGCAGAUAACAAAGUAUAUUUUGAAUUUGAUGAGAAGAGGGUCAGAAUACGAGAGGCAGAAACUGAGAAGAUAAUAGCAUAGGGACAUGAGGCAGAAUGACUAUAUCAAUUACCGAUAAAAAUCAUCGAUAAAAAUCCAGAGGUGGUUACACGUACAAACACUAUAAGAAAAAGGCUUAGUAUUGGUCGCAAAAUAUAAUAAGAUGGUCGCUUAUAGAAAAAACGACUAACUUUUUGAUCACCACGUUAGUCGCAAGAAACUCCGU